CAUACCUGCAGAGAAUUGUUAAAGAUUGUCCAGAGCUCUCUCCUCUCCUGGACAUGAAGCCUUUCCUGUCAGUGAUGCAUGCAAAGGCCCACUCUUGGAAAUGUGAGAUUAAAUGGGGUGGUCGAAACCAAGAAGGAGCAGGCACCACCCUGGGGGAAGAGGUCGAACAAGUUAACAGCUUUUUGUCGAGAACUGCUAUAUGCAGUAAAUACAUGACCAAAGGAGCCAGAACAGACAUGAUUACAAUCCAGGCCAUGGCAUGGAAUCAGCGCAAAAUACGGAAACUUGCAAAAAGCGCUGUCCCUAAGAUUUAAAAAGGUAUAUUUCUAAAUUACUUUUCUCUUUUAUAGGUGAAAGCUUUCGUUUCUUUUAAUGUUUAAUUUGGCUGUAGUGUUUGUUGUGCAAACAAGUAGGCAAGCUGUGUAGAACAACCACUAGAAAGUCAAAAGCAUGAAUUUCAAAACAAAGUUUACUUAUGAAAAUGUUAUACACUUUUCCAUUUGAAAAAGGCUCAUUAGUCCUUUAUGAAUGUUAUUUAUUUAUUUAUUUUCUGUUUUAAUAAAUGCACUUUAUGGGAUUGUUAUUCAUUAGACAAAAAGCAAAAAAAUUCAGGAGGAGUCCUUAAAUCUUGAUGCAAUAAAGACAGACUUGGCAGUAACACAUGACACGCUUAUAGAUUGGACCAAUGAAAUCCAGCAAUGGGCUGAUACAGGUAGGCAUGUUUUAGGUAACCAUAGCACUAUACUUAUUGUUUUAAACCUUUAAGUAACAACUUGCCUCACUGACUGUAGUGCUGUGUAUGAUUUUCUGUUUAUACCUAAAUAUAAGCUUCAUCCUUAUACCUCUGAUGUAAUAAUAAUGCACAUAUUUAUUUCUAUUGUAAAUGCAUUUCUUAUCAAUAAUUUAGCAACAAGUGAGGAGAACACAGACAGUCAGCAGGUGCUCCAGAAGACUAUUGAGACGCUUUAUGUGAGCAUCAGGCAGAGAAAGCAAGAUCUUUACCGUCAAUCAGAUGGGAACAAGAGAAGACACAAACUCCGAAGAAAGAUUUUGGAAGAAAAAGCCAAAUUUUGUGCAGCUGUAGAUGACUACAACAGGGCAGCAACUGAAAAACUGCAGUCAGCUGAUACAAUACUGGCAUCUGAGAGCUAUGCAUGGCCAUGGGUCCUUGAUGAACGUGAUAAUCUUGCAACCAAAAAAGGCCUUUGACCAACUGAUGCUGCUGAACCGGCUUACUGAAGAGGAGUGCAUUGUUCUGAAAGAAAUCCGGAAUCACUGGAAAAAGCCUUACAAGGGAGCAUUCUCUUCUAAAUGAUCUUUUAAGUCAUGUUGCUGUUGAGAUAAA
Molecule: long non-coding RNA, 1345 nt
Organism: Cyprinus carpio carpio
Lineage: Eukaryota; Metazoa; Chordata; Actinopteri; Cypriniformes; Cyprinidae
Source: Ensembl